GGUUAAGCGACUAAGCGUACACGGUGGAUGCCCUGGCAGUCAGAGGCGAUGAAGGACGUGCUAAUCUGCGAAAAGCGUCGGUAAGGUGAUAUGAACCGUUAUAGCCGGCGAUGUCCGAAUGGGGAAACCCAGUGCAAUUCGUUGCACUAUCGUUUGAUGAAUACAUAGUCAAACGAGGCGAACCGGGGGAACUGAAACAUCUAAGUACCCCGAGGAAAAGAAAUCAACCGAGAUUCCCCCAGUAGCGGCGAGCGAACGGGGAGCAGCCCGGAGUCUGAAUCAGCUUGUGUGUUAGUGGAAGCGUCUGGAAAGUCGCAGGGUACAGGGUGAUACUCCCGUACACUAAAACGCACAGGUUGUGAACUCGAAGAGUAGGGCGGGACACGUGGUAUCCUGUCUGAAUAUGGGGGGACCAUCCUCCAAGGCUAAAUACUCCUGACUGACCGAUAGUGAACCAGUACCGUGAGGGAAAGGCGAAAAGAACCCCGGCGAGGGGAGUGAAAAAGAACCUGAAACCGUGUACGUACAAGCAGUAGGAGCCUCUUUAUGGGGUGACUGCGUACCUUUUGUAUAAUGGGUCAGCGACUUAUAUUCUGUAGCAAGGUUAACCGUAUAGGGGAGCCGCAGGGAAACCGAGUCUUAACUGGGCGUUAAGUUGCAGGGUAUAGACCCGAAACCCGGUGAUCUAGCCAUGGGCAGGUUGAAGGUUGGGUAACACUAACUGGAGGACCGAACCGACUAAUGUUGAAAAAUUAGCGGAUGACUUGUGGCUGGGGGUGAAAGGCCAAUCAAACCGGGAGAUAGCUGGUUCUCCCCGAAAGCUAUUUAGGUAGCGCCUCGUGAACUCAUCUUCGGGGGUAGAGCACUGUUUCGGCUAGGGGGUCAUCCCGACUUACCAACCCGAUGCAAACUACGAAUACCGAAGAAUGUUAUCACGGGAGACACACGGCGGGUGCUAACGUCCGUCGUGAAGAGGGAAACAACCCAGACCGCCAGCUAAGGUCCCAAAGUCAUGGUUAAGUGGGAAACGAUGUGGGAAGGCCCAGACAGCCAGGAUGUUGGCUUAGAAGCAGCCAUCAUUUAAAGAAAGCGUAAUAGCUCACUGGUCGAGUCGGCCUGCGCGGAAGAUGUAACGGGGCUAAACCAUGCACCGAAGCUGCGGCAGCGACACUAUGUGUUGUUGGGUAGGGGAGCGUUCUGUAAGCCGUUGAAGGUGGCCUGUGAGGGUUGCUGGAGGUAUCAGAAGUGCGAAUGCUGACAUAAGUAACGAUAAUGCGGGUGAAAAACCCGCACGCCGGAAGACCAAGGGUUCCUGUCCAACGUUAAUCGGGGCAGGGUGAGUCGACCCCUAAGGCGAGGCCGAAAGGCGUAGUCGAUGGGAAACAGGUUAAUAUUCCUGUACUCGGUGUUACUGCGAAGGGGGGACGGAGAAGGCUAUGUUGGCCGGGCGACGGUUGUCCCGGUUUAAGCAUGUAGGCGGAUGUUCCAGGUAAAUCCGGAACGUUACUAACGCUGAGGUGUGAUGACGAGGCACUACGGUGCUGAAGUGACAAAUGCCCUGCUUCCAGGAAAAGCCUCUAAGCAUCAGGUAACAUCAAAUCGUACCCCAAACCGACACAGGUGGUCAGGUAGAGAAUACCAAGGCGCUUGAGAGAACUCGGGUGAAGGAACUAGGCAAAAUGGUGCCGUAACUUCGGGAGAAGGCACGCUGAUAGGUAGGUGAAGUGGUUUACCCAUGGAGCUGAAAUCAGUCGAAGAUACCAGCUGGCUGCAACUGUUUAUUAAAAACACAGCACUGUGCAAACACGAAAGUGGACGUAUACGGUGUGACGCCUGCCCGGUGCCGGAAGGUUAAUUGAUGGGGUUAUCCGUAAGGAGAAGCUCUUGAUCGAAGCCCCGGUAAACGGCGGCCGUAACUAUAACGGUCCUAAGGUAGCGAAAUUCCUUGUCGGGUAAGUUCCGACCUGCACGAAUGGCGUAAUGAUGGCCAGGCUGUCUCCACCCGAGACUCAGUGAAAUUGAACUCGCUGUGAAGAUGCAGUGUACCCGCGGCAAGACGGAAAGACCCCGUGAACCUUUACUAUAGCUUGACACUGAACACUGGUCCUUGAUGUGUAGGAUAGGUGGGAGGCUUUGAAGUGUGGACGCCAGUCUGCAUGGAGCCAUCCUUGAAAUACCACCCUUUAAUGGCUGGUGUUCUAACGUGGGCCCGUUAUCCGGGUUGCGGACAGUGUCUGGUGGGUAGUUUGACUGGGGCGGUCUCCUCCUAAAGAGUAACGGAGGAGCACGAAGGUCAGCUAAUCCUGGUCGGACAUCAGGAGGUUAGUGCAAUGGCAUAAGCUGGCUUGACUGCGAGCGUGACGGCGCGAGCAGGUGCGAAAGCAGGUCAUAGUGAUCCGGUGGUUCUGAAUGGAAGGGCCAUCGCUCAACGGAUAAAAGGUACUCCGGGGAUAACAGGCUGAUACCGCCCAAGAGUUCAUAUCGACGGCGGUGUUUGGCACCUCGAUGUCGGCUCAUCACAUCCUGGGGCUGAAGUAGGUCCCAAGGGUAUGGCUGUUCGCCAUUUAAAGUGGUACGCGAGCUGGGUUUAGAACGUCGUGAGACAGUUCGGUCCCUAUCUGCCGUGGGCGCUGGAGAAUUGAGGGGGGCUGCUCCUAGUACGAGAGGACCGGAGUGGACGCAUCACUGGUGUUCGGGUUGUCAUGCCAAUGGCAUUGCCCGGUAGCUAAAUGCGGAAGAGAUAAGUGCUGAAAGCAUCUAAGCACGAAACUUGCCCCGAGAUGAGUUCUCCCUGACUCCUUGAGAGUCCUGAAGGAACGUUGAAGACGACGACGUUGAUAGGCCGGGUGUGUAAGCGCAGCGAUGCGUUGAGCUAACCGGUACUAAUGAACCGUGAGGCUUAACCUU
This 2907-nucleotide ribosomal RNA is filed under the name Klebsiella grimontii. Its description in RNAcentral is "23S ribosomal RNA". It matches the Rfam family "Bacterial large subunit ribosomal RNA". The record is from RNAcentral. Lineage: Bacteria; Pseudomonadati; Pseudomonadota; Gammaproteobacteria; Enterobacterales; Enterobacteriaceae.